GGUAAUACGGAGGGUGCGAGCGUUAUCCGGAAUCACUGGGUUUAAAGGGUGCGUAGGCGGAUUAGCAAGUCAGAGGUGAAAGCUCUCAGCUUAACUGAGGAACUGCCUUUGAAACUGCUAGUCUUGAAAUAUGGUGAGGUUGGCGGAAUGAGUCAUGUAGCGGUGAAAUGCAUAGAUAUGACUUAGAACACCGAUUGCGAAGGCAGCUGACUGGCCAUUAUUUGACGCUGAGGCACGAAAGCGUGGGGAGCGAACAGGAUUAGAUACCCUGGUAGUCCACGCCCUAAACGAUGUAUACUCGACGUUUGGAUUUAUUUCUGGGCGUCCAAGGGAAACCGUUAAGUAUACCACCUGGGGAGUACGUCGGCAACGAUGAAAC
Molecule: ribosomal RNA, 379 nt
Filed under: Bacteroidota bacterium
Lineage: Bacteria; Pseudomonadati; Bacteroidota
Description: bacterial SSU rRNA
Rfam family: Bacterial small subunit ribosomal RNA
Source: RNAcentral